CGUUCCCGGGCCUUGUACACACCGCCCGUCACGUCACGAAAGUGGGAUACGCCUGAAGCCGGUCGCCUAACCCUUCGGGGAGGGCGCCGUCGAAGGCGGAGCCCGCGAUUGGGACG
RNAcentral lists this ribosomal RNA (116 nucleotides) under uncultured bacterium. Its description in RNAcentral is "partial 16S ribosomal RNA". It matches the Rfam family "Bacterial small subunit ribosomal RNA", at positions 1369 to 1482 of the family's 1533-position model. The record is from RNAcentral.